GGCGGACGGGUGAGUAAUACUUAGGAAUCUGCCCAUUAGUGGGGGACAACUAGAAGAAAUUCUAGCUAAUACCGCAUACGCCCUACGGGGGAAAGCGGGGGAUCUUCGGACCUCGCGCUAAUGGAUGGGCCUAAGUCGGAUUAGCUUGUUGGUGAGGUAAAGGCUCACCAAGGCGACGAUCCGUAGCUGGUCUGAGAGGACGACCAGCCACACUGGGACUGAGACACGGCCCAG
This 234-nucleotide ribosomal RNA is filed under the name uncultured bacterium. Its description in RNAcentral is "partial 16S ribosomal RNA". It matches the Rfam family "Bacterial small subunit ribosomal RNA", at positions 97 to 334 of the family's 1533-position model. The record is from RNAcentral.